GAUUAUGGCUCAGAACGAACGCUGGCGGCAUGGAUUAGGCAUGCAAGUCGAACGAAGCAGCGAUGCUUAGUGGCGCAAGGGUGAGGAACGCGUGAGUGACCUACCCACAAGUUUGGAACAGCUCCUGGAAACGGGAAUUAAUACCGGAUGUGAUCUUCUGGUUGCCUGACUGGAAGAUUAAAGCAGUAAUGCGCUUGUGGAUGGGCUCGCGUCCCAUUAGCUAGUUGGUGAGGUAACGGCCCACCAAGGCGAUGAUGGGUAGCUGGUCUGAGAGGACGACCAGCCACACUGGGACUGAGAACUGCCCAGACUCCUACGGGAGGCUGCAGUCGAGAAUUUUGGGCAAUGGACGAAAGUCUGACCCAAGCAAUGCCGCGUGCGGGAUGAAGGUCUUCGGAUUGUAAACCGCUGUUUGGAGGGACGAAAUAUGACGGUACUUCCAGAGGAAGCCACGGCUAACUACGUGCCAGCAGCUGC
Molecule: ribosomal RNA, 477 nt
Filed under: uncultured bacterium
Lineage: Bacteria
Description: bacterial SSU rRNA
Rfam family: Bacterial small subunit ribosomal RNA
Source: RNAcentral